ACAGAGGGUACAAACGUUGCUCGGAAUCACUGGGCAUAAAGCGCGCGUAGGCGGUCCACCCAGUCAGAUGUGAAAGCCCUCGGCUCAACCGAGGAACUGCAUUUGAUACUAGUGGGCUAGAGGAUGGUAGGGGUGUGUGGAACUUCAGGUGGAACGGUGAAAUGUAUUGAUAUCUGAAGGAACACCUGUGGCGAAAGCGGCACACUGGGCCAUUUCUGACGCUGAGGCGCGAAAGCUAGGGUAGCGAACGGG
This 252-nucleotide ribosomal RNA is filed under the name uncultured bacterium. Its description in RNAcentral is "partial 16S ribosomal RNA". It matches the Rfam family "Bacterial small subunit ribosomal RNA", at positions 525 to 776 of the family's 1533-position model. The record is from RNAcentral.